RNAcentral lists this ribosomal RNA (224 nucleotides) under uncultured Actinomycetales bacterium. RNAcentral's name for it is "partial 16S ribosomal RNA". It matches the Rfam family "Bacterial small subunit ribosomal RNA", at positions 108 to 334 of the family's 1533-position model. Lineage: Bacteria; Bacillati; Actinomycetota; Actinomycetes; Actinomycetales. The record is from RNAcentral.
GUAGUAACACGUGGGUGAUCUGCCCUGCACUUCGGGAUAAGCUUGGGAAACUGGGUCUAAUACCGGAUAGGAGCCAUCUUUAGUGUGGUGGUUGGAAAGUUUUUUCGGUGUAGGAUGAGCUCGCGGCCUAUCAGCUUGUUGGUGGGGUAAUGGCCUACCAAGGCGGCGACGGGUAGCCGGCCUGAGAGGGUGUACGGCCACAUUGGGACUGAGAUACGGCCCAG